GGUGUAUUGAUAUCAAAUGUAAUAAAAGGUGGUUUAAAUUCUGUCUGUCCCACCGUUGGUUUUGGUCAUCUGCCUUCAUCAUCAUGUUUCAAGUGACAUUGAUUGUCAUCCUUGGGAAACACUGGAAAAUACAAGAUCCACAGAUUGAGCAAGCUGUGCAAAAAGAAAAAGCAAAACUAAAUAGCUUGAUCCAAAAACUGACAGAGAAAAUGAGAGAUCAGGAGAAUCUCCAUAAUGAAUCCAUACUAGAUAUAUAUCACCAGAAAAUGUUAACCAUGGAAUCCAACCUGGCACGGAUUAAUGAAUAUGUGGUUUCCUUGAAGAUCAGUCAUGAAAAACUGAAGCAUGAUGUAGGCUUUGAUGUAUCCCAUACGGAGGGCAUGUUCAGCCUAUUUGACAUUGUUCUUCAAAUAAACAAAACAACAUCCACCAAUUAUGUUUCUCUGAGAGCAGAAAUAAUCCAUUUGAAAGAUGUUCUCACUAAUGUCACAAGCAGAAUCUCAUCCAUGGAGGAACAUCUUUCUUCGUUAAUUACGGUACAGUUAUCUCUUAUCGUUUAAGACUAGUUAUAAGACUGUGAGGGCACAGAAUACAUUUUGGUGCAGAACUGUUGAAAUGAUGAUGUAUGAGAGUUACAUUAUAAAAGGACUGAAUGAUGGGGGGGAUGGCACAGUGUUGCAGCGGUUAGCAUUCCUAUAUUGCACCUGCAUUCCCAGUUGAUCUGGGUUUAAUUCCCAUCCUGGGGUGAUAUAUGU
RNAcentral lists this long non-coding RNA (755 nucleotides) under Lepisosteus oculatus (spotted gar). RNAcentral describes it as "lncRNA (ENSLOCG00000022813.1)". The record is from RNAcentral. Lineage: Eukaryota; Metazoa; Chordata; Actinopteri; Semionotiformes; Lepisosteidae.